This 69-nucleotide transfer RNA is filed under the name Hydromanicus wulaianus. Its description in RNAcentral is "tRNA-Leu". The record is from RNAcentral. Lineage: Eukaryota; Metazoa; Arthropoda; Insecta; Trichoptera; Hydropsychidae.
AUUAUUUUGGCAGAUUUAAUGUAGUAAAUUUAGAAUUUACUUAUAUAUAAUUAUAUUAUAUAAAUAAUA